RNAcentral lists this ribosomal RNA (641 nucleotides) under uncultured bacterium. RNAcentral describes it as "bacterial SSU rRNA". It matches the Rfam family "Bacterial small subunit ribosomal RNA", at positions 28 to 641 of the family's 1533-position model. The record is from RNAcentral.
AAUGAACGCUGGCGGCGUGCUUAACACAUGCAAGUCGUACGAGAACUCUUCUGCUUGCAGAAGAUAGUAAAGUGGCGCACGGGUGAGUAACGCGUGGGUAAUCUACCUCCGAAUCGGGGAUAACCCGCCGAAAGGCGAGCUAAUACCGGAUAAUAUCUUUAGAACUUCGGUUUUAAAGAUCAAAGAUGGUCUCUACAUGUAAGCUACUGUUUGGAGAUGAGCCCGCGUACCAUUAGCUUGUUGGUAGGGUAAUGGCCUACCAAGGCCGCGAUGGUUAGCUGGUCUGAGAGGAUGAUCAGCCACACUGGAACUGACACACGGUCCAGACUCCUACGGGAGGCAGCAGUGAGGAAUUUUGCGCAAUGGGGGAAACCCUGACGCAGCAACGCCGCGUGAGUGAUGAAGGCUUUCGGGUCGUAAAGCUCUGUCAAGUGGGAAGAACCUGUUAGAUACUAAUACCAUCUAGCACUGACAGUACCACUAAAGGAAGCACCGGCUAACUCCGUGCCAGCAGCCGCGGUAAUACGGGGGGUGCAAGCGUUAUUCGGAAUUAUUGGGCGUAAAGGGCGCGUAGGCGGUCUCUAAAGUCAGAUGUGAAAGCCCGGGGCUUAACCCCGGAAGUGCAUUUGAAACUUAGGGAC